GCGGAGGAAAAGAAACCAACAGGGAUUGCCCCAGUAACGGCGAGUGAAGCGGCAACAGCUCAAAUUUGAAAUCUGGCCCCCCGGGGCCCGAGUUGUAAUUUGCAGAGGAUGCUUUUGGCGAGGCGCCUUCCGAGUUCCCUGGAACGGGACGCCACAGAGGGUGAGAGCCCCGUCUGGUUGGAUGCCGAGCCUCUGUAAAGCUCCUUCGACGAGUCGAGUAGUUUGGGAAUGCUGCUCUAAAUGGGAGGUAUAUGUCUUCUAAAGCUAAAUAUUGGCCAGAGACCGAUAGCGCACAAGUAGAGUGAUCGAAAGAUGAAAAGCACUUUGAAAAGAGGGUUAAAUAGUACGUGAAAUUGUUGAAAGGGAAGCGCUCAUGACCAGACUUGGGCCCGGUGAAUCAUCCAGCGUUCUCGCUGGUGCACUUUGCCGGGCUCAGGCCAGCAUCAGUUCGCCCCGGGGGAGAAAGGCUCUGGGAAUGUGGCUCCUCCGGGAGUGUUAUAGCCCUCUGCGCAAUGCCCUGGGGCGGACUGAGGUCCGCGC
Molecule: ribosomal RNA, 540 nt
Filed under: Epichloe festucae var. lolii
Lineage: Eukaryota; Fungi; Ascomycota; Sordariomycetes; Hypocreales; Clavicipitaceae
Description: partial large subunit ribosomal RNA
Rfam family: Eukaryotic large subunit ribosomal RNA
Source: RNAcentral